AUGUUCUUUUCUGCACAUCUCUUUUCCACAGGUAACACUUCAAUUCAUCAGACUAGUUUGUUUUGUGCUGUUUUCCUGAAUUCUUCUGUAUGGUGUGAGUUCUUGAAGAUGUUCUUUGUUCAUCUCGAACAGGUUUGUACAAGAUUUGGUGAAAGAAAACAUCUUACACUGUUAAAGGUUUGCAGUCACAAGCGAGGUUAUUAUUCCCCUGGUUUCCUCUACCAAAACUCAGGUUACUGCUUGGAAUAUUACUUCUAAUGAGAGUGAAGACUGAUUUACUCAGUGCUUGCUGUCACACAAGCAGAGAUGGCAGUGGUGUCUGAGGCUGCACAAAUGAACUGGAACUGAUAUUUUUGUCUGCUUGAAAUUCAGAGGUCAAACCUAUGAGGUCUUUUAGUAGAAUGCAGGAGAAACUUGCAUCAAAAGUGCUGGACUUUGGCAAACCCCCAUGAAUUCUUUUACCAAACACCAAGCAAUGAAUAGACAACAGCUUUUCACUACACUCUCAGGAUUAUUCCAAGGGGAGGAGCCUGUUUCUUCAACGUGCUUAUUAGAACACAAUUGUUCGUUUUUUUUCCUGUUGUGCCACAUACCUAAAACUUAUCUUUUGUCCCAUCAGUCCCUUCUCAGAACAUUGCCUUAGAACAGACCUUAGAGCUCAUACCAAAUGUGAAGCAAACCUGAAAUCUCUUUUUCUGGACUGAUAACUUAUUCUGGACUGAUAACUUACUUUCAAUGAGACAUGCAUUCUGGAUACAGGUAUAUCAUAAAGACUGAAACCUUACUUUCCAGCAGCAUACCGAGCAAUUUCUAGAGGGAUAUGGCUUUCUGGAACUGACUGAACUGCUUUACUAAAACCUGGUUUAUAUCUAUUAAAAAGGUAACAGUCAUUUGAAUGACCCACAGAGGUAUCUGAUAUGCCUUGCAGGCAAUAACAUAGGGUGUAAACAGAUCCAUUUGGCCAAUAAUAAAAUGCAAAUGUCUUAGUUCA
This 991-nucleotide long non-coding RNA is filed under the name Anser cygnoides (Swan goose). RNAcentral describes it as "lncRNA (ENSACDG00005006417.1)". The record is from RNAcentral. Lineage: Eukaryota; Metazoa; Chordata; Aves; Anseriformes; Anatidae.